GUGCCAGCCGCCGCGGUAAUACGUAGGGUGCAAGCGUUAAUCGGAAUUACUGGGCGUAAAGCGUGCGCAGGCGGUUGGGCAAGACAGAUGUGAAAGCCCCGGGCUUAACCUGGGAAUGGCAUUUGUGACUGCCCGGCUAGAGUGUGUCAGAGGGGGGUAGAAUUCCACGUGUAGCAGUGAAAUGCGUAGAGAUGUGGAGGAACACCGAUGGCGAAGGCAGCCCCCUGGGAUAACACUGACGCUCAUGCACGAAAGCGUGGGGAGCAAACAGGAUUAGAUACCCUAGUAGUCC
RNAcentral lists this ribosomal RNA (292 nucleotides) under uncultured bacterium. RNAcentral's name for it is "partial 16S ribosomal RNA". It matches the Rfam family "Bacterial small subunit ribosomal RNA", at positions 505 to 796 of the family's 1533-position model. The record is from RNAcentral.